This is a non-coding RNA of Neurospora sp. IMI 360204, 111 nucleotides long. NCBI's taxonomy places the organism in Eukaryota, Fungi, Ascomycota, Sordariomycetes, Sordariales, Sordariaceae. The record is from the annotation of a GenBank genome assembly.
GCCUCAAUGGUCUAGUGGUAUGAUUCGCGCUUCGGGUGGUGCAACUGCUCCUUGCUUGUACACAAGCAAUACCAAUGUGCGAGGUCCUGGGUUCGAAUCCCAGUUGAGGCC